AGCUCUGUAAGCGUAUACCAAAGUUGUUGCAGUUAAAACGCUCGUAGUCGGAUUUUGGCGUGGCCCGUGCUGUGCGCGUAGUGCGUGCGGCGCUGGGACGCGCUUUUGUGGAGGGCGGCGCGUUGUGGCUUCACUGUCGCGGCGUGUCGGCGCCACCGUUUACUGUGAAAAAAUUAGAGUGUUCAAAGCAGGCGUUUGCCGUGAAUACAUUAGCAUGGAAUAAUAGAAUAGGACUUGGUUUCUAUUUUGUUGGUUUGUGAGAGCCGAGUAAUGAUUAAGAGGGACGGUUGGGGGCAUUUGUAUUCCAGCGUCAGAGGUGAAAUUCUUGGAUUGCUGGAAGACAAACCGCUGCGAAAGCGUCUGCCAAGGACGUUUUCAUUGAUCAAGAACGAAAGUACGC
RNAcentral lists this ribosomal RNA (400 nucleotides) under phytoplankton environmental sample. RNAcentral's name for it is "partial small subunit ribosomal RNA". It matches the Rfam family "Eukaryotic small subunit ribosomal RNA", at positions 587 to 994 of the family's 1831-position model. The record is from RNAcentral.